RNAcentral lists this ribosomal RNA (464 nucleotides) under Vreelandella stevensii. RNAcentral's name for it is "partial 16S ribosomal RNA". It matches the Rfam family "Bacterial small subunit ribosomal RNA", at positions 338 to 794 of the family's 1533-position model. Lineage: Bacteria; Pseudomonadati; Pseudomonadota; Gammaproteobacteria; Oceanospirillales; Halomonadaceae. The record is from RNAcentral.
CCUACGGGAGGCAGCAGUGGGGAAUAUUGGACAAUGGGGGGAACCCUGAUCCAGCCAUGCCGCGUGUGUGAAGAAGGCCCUCGGGUUGUAAAGCACUUUCAGUGAGGAAGAACGCCUGGUGGUUAAUACCCAUCAGGAAAGACAUCACUCACAGAAGAAGCACCGGCUAACUCCGUGCCAGCAGCCGCGGUAAUACGGAGGGUGCGAGCGUUAAUCGGAAUUACUGGGCGUAAAGCGCGCGUAGGUGGCUUGAUAAGCCGGUUGUGAAAGCCCCGGGCUCAACCUGGGAACGGCAUCCGGAACUGUCAAGCUAGAGUGCAGGAGAGGAAGGUAGAAUUCCCGGGGUAGCGGUGAAAUGCGUAGAGAUCGGGAGGAAUACCAGUGGCGAAGGCGGCCUUCUGGACUGACACUGACACUGAGGUGCGAAAGCGUGGGUAGCAAACAGGAUUAGAUACCCGAGUAUC